This 253-nucleotide ribosomal RNA is filed under the name uncultured bacterium. RNAcentral describes it as "partial 16S ribosomal RNA". It matches the Rfam family "Bacterial small subunit ribosomal RNA", at positions 524 to 776 of the family's 1533-position model. The record is from RNAcentral.
UACGUAGGUGGCAAGCGUUGUCCGGAAUUAUUGGGCGUAAAGCGCGCGCAGGCGGUCUCUUAAGUCUGAUGUGAAAGCCCACGGCUCAACCGUGGAGGGUCAUUGGAAACUGGGGGACUUGAGUACUGGAGAGGAGAGUGGAAUUCCAUGUGUAGCGGUGAAAUGCGUAGAUAUAUGGGGGAACACCAGUGGCGAAGGCGGCUCUCUGGCCAGUAACUGACGCUGAGGCGCGAAAGCGUGGGGAGCAAACAGG